GAGUUUGAUUCUGGCUCAGAACGAACGCUGGCGGCGUGGAUAAGACAUGCAAGUCGAACGAGACGGAGGGAGCUUGCUCCCAAUGUCUAGUGGCGAACGGGUGAGUAACACGUGAGCAACCUGCCCUGAAGUGGGGGAUAGCCUUCCGAAAGGAAGAUUAAUACCGCAUGUGAUCGCAAGAUUAAAGGUGUCCGCCUCGGCGGAUGCCGCUUCUGGAUGGGCUCGCGGCCUAUCAGUUUGUUGGUGAGGUAACGGCUCACCAAGACGAUGACGGGUAGCUGGUCUGAGAGGAUGAUCAGUCACACUGGAACUGAGACACGGUCCAGACACCUACGGGUGGCAGCAGUCGAGAAUCAUUCGCAAUGGGCGAAAGCCUGACGGUGCGACGCCGCGUGGAGGAUGAAGGCCCUAGGGUCGUAAACUCCUGUCAUCAGAGAGUAAUGGCUUACGGUAAAUAGCCGUGGGUCUUGAUAGUAUCUGAAGAGGAAGGGACGGCUAACUUCGUGCCAGCAGCCGCGGUAAUACGAAGGUCCCAAGCGUUGUUCGGAAUCACUGGGCGUAAAGCGUGUGUAGGCGGCGUGGAAAGUCAGAUGUGAAAUCCCGG
RNAcentral lists this ribosomal RNA (604 nucleotides) under uncultured Verrucomicrobiota bacterium. RNAcentral's name for it is "bacterial SSU rRNA". It matches the Rfam family "Bacterial small subunit ribosomal RNA", at positions 9 to 605 of the family's 1533-position model. Lineage: Bacteria; Pseudomonadati; Verrucomicrobiota. The record is from RNAcentral.